This 253-nucleotide ribosomal RNA is filed under the name uncultured bacterium. Its description in RNAcentral is "partial 16S ribosomal RNA". It matches the Rfam family "Bacterial small subunit ribosomal RNA", at positions 524 to 776 of the family's 1533-position model. The record is from RNAcentral.
UCCGGAGGGUGCAAGCGUUAUCCGGAUUCACUGGGUUUAAAGGGUGCGUAGGCGGGUUGGUAAGUCCGUGGUGAAAUCCCCAAGCUUAACUUGGGAACUGCCGUGGAUACUAUCAAUCUUGAAUAUCGUGGAGGUAAGCGGAAUAUGUCAUGUAGCGGUGAAAUGCUUAGAUAUGACAUAGAACAGCAAUUGCGUAGGCAGCUUACUACACGAUCAUUGACGCUGAGGCACGAAAGCGUGGGGAGCAAACAGG